RNAcentral lists this ribosomal RNA (492 nucleotides) under uncultured bacterium. RNAcentral describes it as "partial 16S ribosomal RNA". It matches the Rfam family "Bacterial small subunit ribosomal RNA", at positions 29 to 507 of the family's 1533-position model. The record is from RNAcentral.
AGUGAACGCUGGCGGUAGGCCUAACACAUGCAAGUCGAACGGCAGCACAGUAAGAGCUUGCUCUUACGGGUGGCGAGUGGCGGACGGGUGAGGAAUACAUCGGAAUCUACUUUUUCGUGGGGGAUAACGUAGGGAAACUUACGCUAAUACCGCAUACGACCUACGGGUGAAAGCAGGGGAUCUUCGGACCUUGCGCGAUUGAAUGAGCCGAUGUCGGAUUAGCUAGUUGCCGGGGUAAGGGCCCACCAAGGCGACGAUCCGUAGCUGGUCUGAGAGGAUGAUCAGCCACACUGGAACUGAGACACGGUCCAGACUCCUACGGGAGGCAGCAGUGGGGAAUAUUGGACAAUGGGCGCAAGCCUGAUCCAGCCAUACCGCGUGGGUGAAGAAGGCCUUCGGGUUGUAAAGCCCUUUUGUUGGGAAAGAAAAGCAGCAGGUUAAUACCCCGCUGUUCUGACGGUACCCAAAGAAUAAGCACCGGCUAACUUCGUG